AGAAAAUCCGUUGGCUUAAGUGACCGUGAGGGUUCAAGUCCCUCUUCCCC
RNAcentral lists this transfer RNA (50 nucleotides) under Physcomitrium patens. RNAcentral's name for it is "Physcomitrella patens partial tRNA-Leu". The record is from RNAcentral. RNAcentral also lists the same sequence under 2 other names. Lineage: Eukaryota; Viridiplantae; Streptophyta; Bryopsida; Funariales; Funariaceae.